UUAAGUGAAUAAGGGCGCACGGUGGAUGCCUUGGCACUAGGAGCCGAUGAAGGACGGGACUAACACCGAUAUGCUUUGGGGAGCUGUACGUAAGCUAUGAUCCAGAGAUUUCCGAAUGGGGGAACCCAGCAUCUUUAAUAGGAUGUUACGAUUGUGUGAAUACAUAGCACAUUCGAGGUAGACGCAGAGAACUGAAACAUCUAAGUACCUGCAGGAAGAGAAAGAAAAUUCGAUUCCCUGAGUAGCGGCGAGCGAAACGGGAAAAGCCCAAACCAACAAGCUUGCUUGUUGGGGUUGUAGGACUCCAAUAUGGUCGUUCUUUCAGAUAGUCGAAUGACUUGGAAAAGUCAGUCAAAGAGGGUAAAAACCCCGUAGACGAAAUGUGGAAGACACCUAGGAGGAUCCUGAGUACGGCGGAACACGAGAAAUUCCGUCGGAAUCCGGGAGGACCAUCUCCCAAGGCUAAAUACUCCCUAGUGACCGAUAGUGAACCAGUACCGUGAGGGAAAGGUGAAAAGCACCCCGGAAGGGGAGUGAAAUAGAACCUGAAACCGUGUGCCUACAACAAGUCAAAGCCCGUUAAUGGGUGAUGGCGUGCCUUUUGUAGAAUGAACCGGCGAGUUACGAUUGCAUGCGAGGUUAAGUUGAAGAGACGGAGCCGCAGCGAAAGCGAGUCUGAAUAGGGCGUUUGAGUAUGUAGUCGUAGACCCGAAACCAUGUGAUCUACCCAUGUCCAGGUUGAAGGUGCGGUAAAACGCACUGGAGGACCGAACCCACGUACGUUGAAAAGUGCGGGGAUGAGGUGUGGGUAGCGGAGAAAUUCCAAACGAACUUGGAGAUAGCUGGUUCUCUCCGAAAUAGCUUUAGGGCUAGCCUCGGAAUUGAGAAUGAUGGAGGUAGAGCACUGUUUGGACUAGGGGCCCAUCUCGGGUUACCGAAUUCAGAUAAACUCCGAAUGCCAUUCAUUCAUAUCCGGGAGUCAGACUGUGAGUGAUAAGAUCCAUAGUCGAAAGGGAAACAGCCCAGACCACCAGCUAAGGUCCCAAAAUAUAUGUUAAGUGGAAAAGGAUGUGGGGUUGCACAGACAACUAGGAUGUUGGCUUAGAAGCAGCCACCAUUUAAAGAGUGCGUAAUAGCUCACUAGUCGAGUGACCCUGCGCCGAAAAUGUACCGGGGCUAAACAUAUUACCGAAGCUGUGGAGUACACCUUUAGGUGUAUUGGUAGGAGAGCGUUCUAAGGGCGUCGAAGGCAGAUCGUGAGGACUGCUGGAGCGCUUAGAAGUGAGAAUGCCGGUAUGAGUAGCGAAAGACAGGUGAGAAUCCUGUCCACCGAAUGACUAAGGUUUCCUGGGGAAGGCUCGUCCGCCCAGGGUUAGUCGGGACCUAAGCCGAGGCCGAUAGGCGUAGGCGAUGGAUAACAGGUUGAUAUUCCUGUACCCGUUGUUUUUGUUUGAGCAAUGGAGGGACGCAGGAGGCUAAGGAAUGCAGACGAUCGGAAAUGUCUGUCCAAGCAGUAAGUCUGAAGAGGAGUCAAAUGCUUCUUUUCUUAAGGACAAGCUGUGAUGGGGAGGGAAAUAAUAGUACCGAAGUUCCUGAUGUCACACUGCCGAGAAAAGCUUCUAGUGAGAAAACAGCGGCCCGUACCGCAAACCGACACAGGUAGUCGAGGAGAGAAUCCUAAGGUGAGCGAGAGAACUCUCGUUAAGGAACUCGGCAAAAUGACCCCGUAACUUCGGGAGAAGGGGUGCUGAUCAUACGAUCAGCCGCAGUGAAUAGGCCCAAGCGACUGUUUAUCAAAAACACAGGUCUCUGCAAAAUCGUAAGAUGAAGUAUAGGGGCUGACGCCUGCCCGGUGCUGGAAGGUUAAGAGGAGUGCUUAGCGCAAGCGAAGGUACGAAUUGAAGCCCCAGUAAACGGCGGCCGUAACUAUAACGGUCCUAAGGUAGCGAAAUUCCUUGUCGGGUAAGUUCCGACCCGCACGAAAGGCGUAACGAUUUGGGCACUGUCUCAACGAGAGACUCGGUGAAAUUUUAGUACCUGUGAAGAUGCAGGUUACCCGCGACAGGACGGAAAGACCCCAUGGAGCUUUACUGUAGUUUGAUAUUGAGUGUCUGUACCGCAUGUACAGGAUAGGUAGGAGCCGUAGAAAUCGGAACGCUAGUUUCGAUGGAGGCGCUGGUGGGAUACUACCCCUGCGUUAUGGCCACUCUAACCCGCACCACUGAUCGUGGUGGGAGACAGUGUCAGAUGGGCAGUUUGACUGGGGCGGUCGCCUCCUAAAAGGUAACGGAGGCGCCCAAAGGUUCCCUCAGAAUGGUUGGAAAUCAUUCGAAGAGUGUAAAGGCAGAAGGGAGCUUGACUGCGAGACCAACAAGUCGAGCAGGGACGAAAGUCGGGCUUAGUGAUCCGGUGGUUCCGCAUGGAAGGGCCAUCGCUCAACGGAUAAAAGCUACCCUGGGGAUAACAGGCUUAUCUCCCCCAAGAGUCCACAUCGACGGGGAGGUUUGGCACCUCGAUGUCGGCUCG
Molecule: ribosomal RNA, 2526 nt
Filed under: human gut metagenome
Description: bacterial LSU rRNA
Rfam family: Bacterial large subunit ribosomal RNA
Source: RNAcentral